UUUUUUUCUGCUGAGGAAGAUUGCCCUGACAUCUGCUGCCAACCUUCCUGUUUUUUUUGGAUGUGAGCUGCCACCACAGCAUGGCCACUGACAGAUGAGUGGUGUAGUGGGAACCAAACCCCGGUUGCCGAAGUGAAGCAUACCAGACUUAACCACUAGGCCACUCAGGGUGGCCCCCACAUUUCUAAAAUGGUACAAAAGUUACAAAUACACUGAAUGAAAAUGCCUUCUUCCCAAAUUUUUCUGAUGAUCUUUCACAUAUUUUUGGUGACCCUGCUUCCCUGUUGUCUUAGACACGUGUUCAAUGAGUAAUAGGUAAUCAGCGCUGGUCUUCAUACUCCAGGGGGUGAACAAGGAUAAGGACAGAGACAACACUCAAAAACCACACUUACAGAAUUUUUAUAAAUGUUGGAUUAUACCGACAGAGGUUAACUGAGCUUUCCAGUUGUGGGUCCCUCUAGUUGUAGCAUGUGGGAUGCCGCCUCAGCCUGGGGUGCCAUGUCCAAGCCCAGGAUCCGAACUGGAGAAACCCUGGGCCGCGGAAACGCAGCGCCCGAACUUAACCACUCAGCCACAGGGCCGGACCCAACUACGUUUUUUUAAAUCCAUCCAUCAUUGGACAUUUGGGUUGCUUCCACCUUUUGGCUAUUGUGGAUAGUGCUGCUAUGAACACGUGUGUACGAAUAUCUGUUCAAG
Molecule: long non-coding RNA, 696 nt
Filed under: Equus caballus (horse)
Lineage: Eukaryota; Metazoa; Chordata; Mammalia; Perissodactyla; Equidae
Description: lncRNA (ENSECAG00000046613.1)
Source: RNAcentral